ACUAGUGAAGCCCAUCAUGUUUGAGCUUCCCAUCUCUCCACCAGUGAAGCUCAUCGUGGCUGAGCUGCCCAUCGCUCCAAUUAUGAAGCAUGUCAUGUUUGAGCUGAAGGGUCUGCUGAAGCAACAUAAAAAAAAGACAAAAAGACAUGGAAACUUCAGUUCCACAGACCAAAAGUACUCCACCUCCUCCCUGCCUAUCGGAUUAUUUCCCUCCACCACAGGGUUGCCAAAGGGCCCAGAAUUGGUUCGAUUCACCUCCACCACAGGGUUGCCAAAGGGCCCAGAAUGUCUUCCAUUCACCUCCACCACAGGGUUUCCAAAGGGCCAAGGAUUUCUUAGAUUCACCUCCACCACAGGGUUUCCAAAGAGCCCAAAAUGGAGUUAACCCAUAUUCAGUGAAAGCAGGUGCUCCAAUUAGCAAAUAUUCAGGUUAUCCAGGUACAACUACCAAAGCUGGGCCUGGAAUAUCAGACACUGCCCUGGCUCACAUGCUCAGACCUCUCUCACCGAUGUGUGUGCCGGAAGAUGAUGGUGAAUGGGACUCUGGUUGGGAUCACAUGUCCACCCCUGGGACUUCUACAUGUGUUGACUCUUCCCCUGGACAUUUUAAGGCUUUUUUAGGCUAUUUUGCCAGAAAAAAGGAUGCAGUGGAGCAUAGCAUACUUAGAAAAAAUAAAUAAACUCAAG
This is a long non-coding RNA of Coregonus clupeaformis (lake whitefish), 687 nucleotides long. RefSeq lists it as uncharacterized. The transcript has 4 exons. NCBI's taxonomy places the organism in Eukaryota, Metazoa, Chordata, Actinopteri, Salmoniformes, Salmonidae. The record is from RefSeq and is a predicted model, not a curated record.